RNAcentral lists this transfer RNA (73 nucleotides) under Salmo salar (Atlantic salmon). It matches the Rfam family "tRNA". From Rfam's summary of the family: Transfer RNA (tRNA) molecules are approximately 80 nucleotides in length. Their secondary structure includes four short double-helical elements and three loops (D, anti-codon, and T loops). Lineage: Eukaryota; Metazoa; Chordata; Actinopteri; Salmoniformes; Salmonidae. The record is from Rfam by way of RNAcentral.
UUCCCUGUGGCUCAGUUGGUAGAGCAUGGUGUGUGCAACACCAGGGUUGUGGGUUCAAUUCCCACAGGGGGGC